CCUACGGGAGGCUGCAGUGGGGAAUAUUGGACAAUGGGGGCAACCCUGAUCCAGCCAUGCCGCGUGUGUGAAGAAGGCCCUCGGGUUGUAAAGCACUUUCAGUGAGGAAGAACGCCUGGUGGUUAAUACCCAUCAGGAAAGACAUCACUCACAGAAGAAGCACCGGCUAACUCCGUGCCAGCAGCCGCGGUAAUACGGAGGGUGCGAGCGUUAAUCGGAAUUACUGGGCGUAAAGCGCGCGUAGGUGGCUUGAUAAGCCGGUUGUGAAAGCCCCGGGCUCAACCUGGGAACGGCAUCCGGAACUGUGAAGCUAGAGUGCAGGAGAGGAAGGUAGAAUUCCCGGUGUAGCGGUGAAAUGCGUAGAGAUCGGGAGGAAUACCAGUGGCGAAGGCGGCCUUCUGGACUGACACUGACACUGAGGUGCGAAAGCGUGGGUAGCAAACAGGAUUAGAUACCCGUGUAGUC
RNAcentral lists this ribosomal RNA (465 nucleotides) under Vreelandella stevensii. RNAcentral describes it as "partial 16S ribosomal RNA". It matches the Rfam family "Bacterial small subunit ribosomal RNA", at positions 338 to 795 of the family's 1533-position model. The record is from RNAcentral. Lineage: Bacteria; Pseudomonadati; Pseudomonadota; Gammaproteobacteria; Oceanospirillales; Halomonadaceae.